CUUGGUCAUUUAGAGGAAGUAAAAGUCGUAACAAGGUUUCCGUAGGUGAACCUGCGGAAGGAUCAUUAUCGAAUGUUAAACAUGGGGAUGUUGCUGACUUAUCCAUAUGGAUGGGUAGUGUGCACUCCUCUAAAAUGUUCAAAUCCACCUGUGCACAUUGAGUAGGCAAAACAGAUUGAGUUCUGUGGGGCCUAUGUUAUAUAUAAUCCUGUGAAAGAUGGUAUAAACAAUGAAAAUGAUAUUACAACUUUCAACAAUGGAUCUCUUGGUUCUCGCAUCGAUGAAGAACGCAGCGAAUUGCGAUAUGUAAUGUGAAUUGCAGAAUUCAGUGAAUCAUCGAAUCUUUGAACGCAUCUUGCGCCCUUUGGCUAUUCUGAAGGGCAUGCCUGUUUGAGAGUCAUUAUUAUUCUCAAACUUCAGAGUUUUUGUGGACUCUGAAGCUUUGGAUAUGGAGGACUAUUGCUGGCAAAUUUGUGUUGCUGGCUCCUCUCAAAUGCAUUAGCGGAACUGUCAAUGUCUUGGCUCUGGUUUGAUACAUAUCUAUGCCAUUGCUGAGGAGCUUUCAUGGUUCAGCUUAUAAACCCCCCCUUUGUCUCCGAAAACUUGACCUCAAAUCAGGUAGGACUACCCGCUGAACUUAAGCAUAUCAAUAAGCGGAGGAAAAGAAACUAACAAGGAUUCCCCUAGUAACUGCGAGUGAAGAGGGAAAAGCUCAAAUUUGAAAUCUGGCAGGUCUUGCAUCUGUCCGAGUUGUAGUUUAGAGAAGUGCCAUCCGCGCUGGGCCUGUGCAUAAGUUUCUUGGAACAGAACAUCAUAGAGGGUGAUAAUCCCGUCUUUAGCACAGGUUGAAUCAGGGCUUUUGUGAUGCACCCUCGAAGAGUCGAGUUGUUUGGGAAUGCAGCUCUAAAUGGGUGGUAAAUUCCAUCUAAAGCUAAAUAUUGGCGAGAGACCGAUAGCGAACAAGUACCGUGAGGGAAAGAUGAAAAGAACUUUGAAAAGAGAGUUAAACAGUACGUGAAAUUGUUGAAAGGGAAACGCUUGAAGU
Molecule: ribosomal RNA, 1045 nt
Filed under: uncultured Basidiomycota
Lineage: Eukaryota; Fungi; Basidiomycota
Description: eukaryotic LSU rRNA
Rfam family: Eukaryotic large subunit ribosomal RNA (bases 605-1045)
Source: RNAcentral